Molecule: long non-coding RNA, 242 nt
Filed under: Medicago truncatula (barrel medic)
Lineage: Eukaryota; Viridiplantae; Streptophyta; Magnoliopsida; Fabales; Fabaceae
Description: long non-coding RNA (MTRU_LNC006801)
Source: RNAcentral
AGAAAAAACAAGUAGUAUUUGAGAACAAGAUAUGUAUGUUGGUGUGUGGCUUAUGAGCAUAUGGAAGCCUUUGUAUUUAUAGGCACUGUCUUGGUUUGAAGGAUUGGAAUUCAAAGAAGCUGCACAGAUAAAUUCAACAAUGGUGUGCUUUGCAUCGAGUGCUGUGAAUUUAAUAUAACGCACCGCCAACCAUGAGAAACAUACGAAUGCGUUUAAUUUGAUGUGGACUAAAAUUAUAGACG